This 377-nucleotide ribosomal RNA is filed under the name uncultured delta proteobacterium. RNAcentral describes it as "bacterial SSU rRNA". It matches the Rfam family "Bacterial small subunit ribosomal RNA", at positions 521 to 896 of the family's 1533-position model. The record is from RNAcentral. Lineage: Bacteria; Deltaproteobacteria.
UAAUACGGAGGGUGCAAGCGUUAAUCGGAAUUACUGGGCGUAAAGCGCUCGUAGGCGGUUUGUUAAGUCGAAUGUGAAAGCCCGGGGCUUAACCCCGGAAGGGCAUUUGAAACUAUCAGGCUUGAGUAUGGGAGAGGGAAGUGGAAUUCCUGGUGUAGAGGUGAAAUUCGUAGAUAUCAGGAGGAACACCGGUGGCGAAGGCGACUUCCUGGACCAAUACUGACGCUGAGGUGCGAAGGCGUGGGGAGCAAACAGGAUUAGAUACCCUGGUAGUCCACGCAGUAAACGUUGUUCACUAGGUGUAGCGGGUAUUGACCCCUGCUGUGCCGGAGUUAACGCAUUAAGUGAACCGCCUGGGGAGUACGAUCGCAAGAUUA